This 67-nucleotide transfer RNA is filed under the name Marmota monax (woodchuck). RNAcentral's name for it is "tRNA.Ala". Lineage: Eukaryota; Metazoa; Chordata; Mammalia; Rodentia; Sciuridae. The record is from RNAcentral.
GGCUGUGGCUCAGUGGUAGAGUUCUUGCCUAGCAUGUGUGAGGCCCUGGGUUCGAAUCUCAGUACCA